Molecule: non-coding RNA, 89 nt
Organism: Caenorhabditis elegans
Lineage: Eukaryota; Metazoa; Nematoda; Chromadorea; Rhabditida; Rhabditidae
Source: Ensembl
UGAAAUGAGUAAAAUAAAAGGGAAGAAGCGGAAUGAAGAAACAAUAAAAAUUGCAUGCGUUGAGUGCAAAUUGGCGGUCGAAAAGUUCA